GAAUGUCAGAACUAUUUGGUUGCAAACUAUGUCACCCCAUUGAACACCAGAGUUGAUUUGGCUGAUUUGGCUGGCUAGGCAGAUAUCCCCUUCCUCCUCCAUUGUUCCAUGAGUAUCUUUUUUAAGAUUGGCAUGCUCCAAUGAAGAGGACAAACUUCCCUGAUAGAGGAGGACCAUUCUUUGGUCAAGAGUAUAUGAGUAGCUACACUUUUCAGCUAGAGACUCCAAACAAACUCUCAAGAUGUUCCAGGAGCAUGUUACAAUGUCAUGAAUAAAAAAGUUCUCAAAAAACCACAAUGGUGGAGGU
RNAcentral lists this small nuclear RNA (307 nucleotides) under Carlito syrichta (Philippine tarsier). RNAcentral describes it as "7SK RNA (ENSTSYG00000034118.1)". It matches the Rfam family "7SK RNA". Rfam says of the family: 7SK was discovered as an abundant small nuclear RNA in the mid-70s but a possible function has only recently been suggested. Two independent studies have found that 7SK RNA binds the CDK9/cyclin T complex (known as elongation factor P-TEFb). Lineage: Eukaryota; Metazoa; Chordata; Mammalia; Primates; Tarsiidae. The record is from RNAcentral.